GAGGAAAGAGGGAGAAAGGAUUAACACAUGCAAGUCGAGGGGAAACGACGGGGAAGCUUGCUUCCCCGGGCGUCGACCGGCGCACGGGUGAGUAACGCGUAUCCAACCUGCCUCUGACUGAGGGAUAACCCGUCGAAAGUCGGCCUAAUACCUCAUGGUAUCGUCUGCGGGCAUCCAACGACGAUUAAAGAUUUCAUCGGUCAGGGAUGGGGAUGCGUCUGAUUAGCUUGUUGGCGGGGUAACGGCCCACCAAGGCUACGAUCAGUAGGGGUUCUGAGAGGAAGGUCCCCCACAUUGGAACUGAGACACGGUCCAAACUCCUACGGGAGGCAGCAGUGAGGAAUAUUGGUCAAUGGGCGAGAGCCUGAACCAGCCAAGUAGCGUGCAGGAAGACGGCCCUAUGGGUUGUAAACUGCUUUUAUGCGGGGAUAAAGUGAGGGACGUGCCCUCAUUGCAGGUACCGCAUGAAUAAGGACCGGCUAAUUCCGUG
This 490-nucleotide ribosomal RNA is filed under the name uncultured bacterium. RNAcentral describes it as "partial 16S ribosomal RNA". It matches the Rfam family "Bacterial small subunit ribosomal RNA", at positions 28 to 507 of the family's 1533-position model. The record is from RNAcentral.